CCGGCUUGGCGGGGCUCCUACUGGGUCUGGGCCUCCUCCCGGGUUGGCGGACCUCCUCCCGGGGCCGGGCCUCCUCCCAGGUCUGCGGGCCUCCUCCCGGGGCCGGGCCUCCUCCUGGGUCCGUGCCUCCUCCCGGCUUGGCGGGGCUCCUACUGGGUCCGUGCCUCCUCCCGGCUUGGCGGGGCUCCUACUGGGUCUGGGCCUCCUCCCGGGUUGGCGGACCUCCUCCCGGGGCCGGGCCUCCUCCCAGGUCUGCGGGCCUCCUCCCGGGGCCGGGCCUCCUCCUGGGUCCGUGCCUCCUCCCGGCUUGGCGGGGCUCCUACUGGGUCCGUGCCUCCUCCCGGCUUGGCGGGGCUCCUACUGGGUCUGGGCCUCCUCCCGGGUUGGCGGACCUCCUCCCGGGGCCGGGGCUCCUCCCGGGUCGGCGGGGCUCCUCCCGGGUUGGUGGGGCUCCUCCUGGGUCCGGGUCUCCUCCUGGGUCUGGGCCUCCUCCUGGGUCCGGGCCUCCUCCCGGAUCAGGGCCUUCUCCCGGGUCGGCGAGCCUCCUCCCGGGGCUGGGGCUCCUCCCAGGUCGGCGGGGCUCCUCUGGGGUCCCGGCCUCCUCCCAGGUCUGCGGGCCUCCUCCCGGGUCCGGGCCUCCUCCCGGGUCAGGGCCUUCUCCUGGGGCUGGGGCUCCUCCCAGGUCGGCGGGGCUCCUACUGGGUCUGGGCCUCCUCCCGGGUUGGCGGGGCACCUCCUGGGUCCGGGUCUCCUCUUGGGUCUGGGCCUCCUCCCGGGUCGUUGGGCCUCCUCCCGGGUCCAAGGCUCCUCGGGGUCCGGGCCGCGGGCCGGGGUGGUUACGUGCGUGCGGAGCAAAGGCGCCCUGGCCGCAGAGGCGGGAAGCGUUACUUCUCGCAAGCGUAUUUGCAAAGAUUUAUUUUGAAAACCGGAAUACGCAAGAGUGGGCAGUGUGAUGAACCCUCUAUCCCCAUGGUUAGUACACUAGUCGGAUUUUCUUGGUUUUGA
Molecule: long non-coding RNA, 1005 nt
Filed under: Vulpes vulpes (red fox)
Lineage: Eukaryota; Metazoa; Chordata; Mammalia; Carnivora; Canidae
Description: lncRNA (ENSVVUG00000010181.1)
Source: RNAcentral